RNAcentral lists this ribosomal RNA (253 nucleotides) under uncultured bacterium. Its description in RNAcentral is "partial 16S ribosomal RNA". It matches the Rfam family "Bacterial small subunit ribosomal RNA", at positions 524 to 776 of the family's 1533-position model. The record is from RNAcentral.
UACGUAGGGUGCAAGCGCUGUCCGGAAUUAUUGGGCGUAAAGAGCUCGUAGGCGGUUUGUCGCGUCUGCUGUGAAAACUCGGGGCUUAACUCCGGGCCUGCAGUGGGUACGGGCAGACUAGAGUGCGGUAGGGGAGACUGGAAUUCCUGGUGUAGCGGUGAAAUGCGCAGAUAUCAGGAGGAACACCGGUGGCGAAGGCGGGUCUCUGGGCCGUAACUGACGCUGAGGAGCGAAAGCGUGGGGAGCGAACAGG